Molecule: ribosomal RNA, 468 nt
Filed under: uncultured bacterium
Lineage: Bacteria
Description: partial 16S ribosomal RNA
Rfam family: Bacterial small subunit ribosomal RNA
Source: RNAcentral
GACGAACGCUGGCGGCGUGCUUAACACAUGCAAGUCGAACGGAAAGGCCCUGCUUUUGUGGGGUGCUCGAGUGGCGAACGGGUGAGUAACACGUGAGUAACCUGCCCUUGACUUUGGGAUAACUUCAGGAAACUGGGGCUAAUACCGGAUAGGAGCUCCUGCUGCAUGGUGGGGGUUGGAAAGUUUCGGCGGUUGGGGAUGGACUCGCGGCUUAUCAGCUUGUUGGUGGGGUAGUGGCUUACCAAGGCUUUGACGGGUAGCCGGCCUGAGAGGGUGACCGGCCGCAUUGGGACUGAGAUACGGCCCAGACUCCUACGGGAGGCAGCAGUGGGGAAUAUGGCACAAUGGGCGGAAGCCUGAUGCAGCAACGCCGCGUGCGGGAUGACGGCCUUCGGGUUGUAAACCGCUUUCGCCUGUGACGAAGCGUGAGUGACGGUAAUGGGUAAAGAAGCACCGGCUAACUACGUG